RNAcentral lists this ribosomal RNA (405 nucleotides) under uncultured beta proteobacterium. RNAcentral's name for it is "bacterial SSU rRNA". It matches the Rfam family "Bacterial small subunit ribosomal RNA", at positions 9 to 418 of the family's 1533-position model. The record is from RNAcentral. Lineage: Bacteria; Pseudomonadati; Pseudomonadota; Betaproteobacteria.
GAGUUUGAUCGUGGCUCAGGACGAACGCUGGCGGCGUGCCUAAAACAUGCAAGUCGAGCGGCAGCGCGGGGCAACCUGGCGGCGAGCGGCGAACGGGUGAGUAAUGCAUCGGAACAUGUCCAUUCGUGGGGGAUAGCCCGGCGAAAGCCGGAUUAAUACCGCAUACGCCCGAGAGGGGAAAGUGGGGGACCGCAAGGCCUCACGCGAUUGGGUUGGCCGAUGUCCGAUUAGCUAGUUGGUGGGGUAAAGGCCUACCAAGGCGAUGAUCGGUAGCUGGUCUGAGAGGAUGAUCAGCCACACUGGGACUGAGACACGGCCCAGACUCCUACGGGAGGCAGCAGUGGGGAAUUUUGGACAAUGGGGGCAACCCUGAUCCAGCCAUUCCGCGUGAGUGAAGAAGGCCUU